UAAACUACGAUUAGAUACCCUAUUAUUUUAAAUGUGAAGUGUAAAUACUUGAGUAGUACGAGAUAUGAUCUUGAAACUCAAAGAAUUUGGCGGUGUUUUAGUCCUUUCAGAGGAACCUGCCCCGUAAUCGAUAUUCCACGUUAUACCUUACUUAAUUUUGUUGAUCAGUUUGUAUACCGCCGUCGUCAGAAUGUCCUAUUAGGGUUAGAAUUUUCUUUAUUUAGAAUGAUUAAAGGAUGUCAGGUCAAGGUGCAGUUUAUGAUUAAGUGGAGGUGGGUUACAAUAAAUUUAUUUAAUACGGAUGGUUGUUUGCAAGAUUAAUGACUUGAAGGUGGAUUUGAAUGUAAUUAUAUAUAGGAUAAUAUUUUGAUUUUGGCUCUAAAACAUGCACACAUCGCCCGUCGCUCUUA
This 410-nucleotide ribosomal RNA is filed under the name Frisonia picticeps. RNAcentral's name for it is "partial 12S ribosomal RNA". The stretch from base 51 to 410 matches the Rfam family "Microsporidia small subunit ribosomal RNA", at positions 752 to 1207 of the family's 1311-position model. The record is from RNAcentral. Lineage: Eukaryota; Metazoa; Arthropoda; Insecta; Plecoptera; Perlodidae.